RNAcentral lists this ribosomal RNA (699 nucleotides) under Triticum aestivum (bread wheat). RNAcentral's name for it is "partial small subunit ribosomal RNA". Lineage: Eukaryota; Viridiplantae; Streptophyta; Magnoliopsida; Poales; Poaceae. The record is from RNAcentral.
AUGCCUGUGAGUUAUGCUGGCUUAAAAUGUAGUGACUGGACCAUUGUUGAUGACAAGUUCAUUGAUCACUGCGAAAACUGGGUUAGUGAAAUCCUAUCCAUGGGAGGAAGGCUGAUCAAAGUGAACUCUGUGCUUUCUCACAUUCCUACUUUCUACAUGUCUAUGUUUCUUUUGAACAAGACUACCCUGGAAAAAUGGGACAAACCCAGGAGGAAAUUUUUUUGGCACAACAACAAGAAAAAGAGAGGCUACCACAUGGUUAGGUGGAGCCGUAUAUGUAGAUCCAAAAAGAAAGGGGGUUUGGGUGUUAAGGACUUGAGGAAACAGAAUAUAAGUCUUUUAGCGAAAUGGUGGUGGAAGCUUGAGAAAAACAGUGGAUUAUGGCAAGAUAUAGUUAAGGCUAAAUACCUUAAGAAAACUUCGGUGGCUAUGGUGAAACACAAAGCCAGUGACUCGCCUUGCUGGAAGUCACUUUUGAAAGUGAAAGACCUAUAUAUGAUGGGAAGGGGUAUUAAUCUAAAUAGAGGAGAUGUGGCUAGACUCUGGCAGGAUAGCCUGGAGGGUAAAAUGCAUUUUAAAGAUAGAUUCCCACUGCUCUUUGAGACCUGUAAUGAGCAAAAUUGUAAUGUUGACCAGUUUAAAAACCUGGAUCAGAUCACCUCUUUUAGGAGGAGGAUGUCCCCUGAGAUGCUGCAACAA